Molecule: ribosomal RNA, 673 nt
Filed under: bacterium SL1.3
Lineage: Bacteria
Description: bacterial SSU rRNA
Rfam family: Bacterial small subunit ribosomal RNA
Source: RNAcentral
UGCAGUCGAGCGGACCGACGGGAGCUUGCUCCCUUAGGUCAGCGGCGGACGGGUGAGUAACACGUGGGUAACCUGCCUGUAAGACUGGGAUAACUCCGGGAAACCGGGGCUAAUACCGGAUGCUUGAUUGAACCGCAUGGUUCAAUUAUAAAAGGUGGCUUUUAGCUACCACUUACAGAUGGACCCGCGGCGCAUUAGCUAGUUGGUGAGGUAACGGCUCACCAAGGCAACGAUGCGUAGCCGACCUGAGAGGGUGAUCGGCCACACUGGGACUGAGACACGGCCCAGACUCCUACGGGAGGCAGCAGUAGGGAAUCUUCCGCAAUGGACGAAAGUCUGACGGAGCAACGCCGCGUGAGUGAUGAAGGUUUUCGGAUCGUAAAACUCUGUUGUUAGGGAAGAACAAGUACCGUUCGAAUAGGGCGGUACCUUGACGGUACCUAACCAGAAAGCCACGGCUAACUACGUGCCAGCAGCCGCGGUAAUACGUAGGUGGCAAGCGUUGUCCGGAAUUAUUGGGCGUAAAGCGCGCGCAGGCGGUUUCUUAAGUCUGAUGUGAAAGCCCCCGGCUCAACCGGGGAGGGUCAUUGGAAACUGGGGAACUUGAGUGCAGAAGAAGAGAGUGGAAUUCCACGUGUAGCGGUGAAAUGCGUAGAGAUGUGGAGGAACACCA